This 298-nucleotide long non-coding RNA is filed under the name dengue virus type 1. RNAcentral describes it as "Dengue virus 1 partial sfRNA1". The stretch from base 233 to 298 matches the Rfam family "Flavivirus DB element". The record is from RNAcentral. Lineage: Riboviria; Orthornavirae; Kitrinoviricota; Flasuviricetes; Amarillovirales; Flaviviridae.
AAGAAGUCAGGCCGGAUUAAGCCAUAGCACGGCAAGAGCUAUGCUGCCUGUGAGCCCCGUCUAAGGACGUAAAAUGAAGUCAGGCCGAAAGCCACGGUUUGAGCAAGCCGUGCUGCCUGUAGCUCCAUCGUGGGGAUGUAAAAACCUGGGAGGCUGCAAACCAUGGAAGCUGUACGCAUGGGGUAGCAGACUAGUGGUUAGAGGAGACCCCUCCCAAAACACAACGCAGCAGCGGGGCCCAACACCUGGGAAAGCUGUACCCUGGUGGUAAGGACUAGAGGUUAGAGGAGACCCCCCG